This 425-nucleotide ribosomal RNA is filed under the name uncultured bacterium. RNAcentral's name for it is "partial 16S ribosomal RNA". It matches the Rfam family "Bacterial small subunit ribosomal RNA", at positions 354 to 796 of the family's 1533-position model. The record is from RNAcentral.
GUGGGGAAUCUUGCGCAAUGGGCGAAAGCCUGACGCAGCCAUGCCGCGUGAAUGAUGAAGGUCUUAGGAUUGUAAAAUUCUUUCACCGGGGACGAUAAUGACGGUACCCGGAGAAGAAGCUCCGGCUAACUUCGUGCCAGCAGCCGCGGUAAUACGAAGGGGGCUAGCGUUGCUCGGAAUUACUGGGCGUAAAGGGCGCGUAGGCGGACAGCUUAGUCAGAGGUGAAAGCCCAGGGCUCAACCUUGGAAUUGCCUUUGAUACUGGCUAUCUUGAGUAUGGAAGAGGUAUGUGGAACUCCGAGUGUAGAGGUGAAAUUCGUAGAUAUUCGGAAGAACACCAGUGGCGAAGGCGACAUACUGGUCCAUUACUGACGCUGAGGCUCGAAAGCGUGGGGAGCAAACAGGAUUAGAUACCCGAGUAGUCC